This 408-nucleotide ribosomal RNA is filed under the name uncultured bacterium. RNAcentral describes it as "bacterial SSU rRNA". It matches the Rfam family "Bacterial small subunit ribosomal RNA", at positions 355 to 775 of the family's 1533-position model. The record is from RNAcentral.
UGGGGAAUAUUGCACAAUGGGCGAAAGCCUGAUGCAGCAACGCCGCGUGCGGGAUGACGGCCUUCGGGUUGUAAACCGCUUUCAGCAGGGACGAAGGGUUUCUGACGGUACCUGCAGAAGAAGCACCGGCUAACUACGUGCCAGCAGCCGCGGUGAUACGUAGGGUGCGAGCGUUGUCCGGAAUUAUUGGGCGUAAAGAGCUUGUAGGCGGUUCGUUGCGUCGGAAGUGAAAACUCAGGGCUUAACCCUGAGCCUGCUUUCGAUACGGGCGGACUUGAGGGAUGUAGGGGAGAACGGAAUUCCUGGUGGAGCGGUGGAAUGCGCAGAUAUCAGGAGGAACACCAGUGGCGAAGGCGGUUCUCUGGACAUUUCCUGACGCUGAGAAGCGAAAGCGUGGGGAGCAAACAG